RNAcentral lists this ribosomal RNA (498 nucleotides) under uncultured bacterium. RNAcentral's name for it is "partial 16S ribosomal RNA". It matches the Rfam family "Bacterial small subunit ribosomal RNA", at positions 28 to 507 of the family's 1533-position model. The record is from RNAcentral.
GACGAACGCUGGCGGCGUGCCUAAUACAUGCAAGUCGAGCGGACGAAUCGAAAGCUUGCUUUUGAUUCGUUAGCGGCGGACGGGUGAGUAACACGUGGGCAACCUGCCCUGUAGACGGGGAUAACACCGAGAAAUCUGUGCUAAUACCGGAUAACACGAAAUGUCGCAUGACGUUUCGUUGAAAGACGGCGCAAGCUGUCGCUACAGGAUGGGCCCGCGGCGCAUUAGCUAGUUGGUGAGGUAACGGCUCACCAAGGCGACGAUGCGUAACCGACCUGAGAGGGUGAUCGGCCACACUGGGACUGAGACACGGCCCAGACUCCUACGGGAGGCAGCAGUAGGGAAUCUUCCGCAAUGGACGAAAGUCUGACGGAGCAACGCCGCGUGAGCGAAGAAGGCCUUCGGGUCGUAAAGCUCUGUUGUUGGGGAAGAACAAGUAACGCAGUAACUGGCGUUACCGUGACGGUACCUACAGAGAAAGCCACGGCUAACUACGUG